AUGAAAAUGUGGCCCUCUUUGAUGGGGAAAAAAAAUCACCAUGGGAAGCUACCAAGCAGCAGCAGUAAAGGAAGAGAUUUGAUUAUAUGCAUGGGCCGUCGCUAUAUUUUGGGAUGUCUUCUGCUGGUGUUGAUUGUGCACGGCUCUGCCUUUUCGCAGAACUGUUUCUGCUCAUACAGCCUGGAUAGAGUAGAGAUCAUGUUUGAAAAGAGUAUGUAUUGUCGCGAUAUCGUUUGCCAACAUUCAUAUGCCAAGAAUUCUUUGACAUUUGAUUUGGGCAUGUCGCUGUAUUUCCUGUCACAAAGAAUGUACUACCAAGUUAUGGCAUGA
RNAcentral lists this ribosomal RNA (330 nucleotides) under Triticum aestivum (bread wheat). RNAcentral describes it as "partial small subunit ribosomal RNA". Lineage: Eukaryota; Viridiplantae; Streptophyta; Magnoliopsida; Poales; Poaceae. The record is from RNAcentral.